CAUCUGAUCUGGUUCACUCGUGAGCUUCUUGAUGAGCGUCUGCUGUUUGCUGCUCAGCAGGUCUUCUACAGGUUUCUCUUGAACAGCCUGUUGACGUCCCUCUCCAGGAUGGAGAGAGUCCUCGUUGGUGUCAGGACUGUCCCUUUGUCUUCCACUAACUCCGGAGCAUUCAUUCACAUGGGUUCAUGCACAAGUACCACACACAGUCUGGAGGUGGUGAGACAGGAGCUUAUUCAUGAGGUACAGAAGAAGAACAACACCAAGGUGACUCAAGACAAAAUGGCCAUGACAUUCUCCAUGCGGAGGCUGGAGACCGCGACCGGAAGUCCUGCGGCGGAUGACUUGGAACAGAGAUGGCCUGCUUUGUUCUCUGAAGCUGAGAGGCAGGAUUCAGAAGAAUUACGACAAUUCCCCUCGAGCGGACGUUCAUGUACGAGCUUGACUAUCACACACCACAACUUAUCAGCUUGAUGAAAGCCAAGGGUGGUGUCCUUGGGACCAAGCUGAGGCCAUGUUGGACUGAGUCAGAACCAAAGCAUUGAGAUGAAACGUGAAACUAUUAUCACAGCCUUAUCCUGUACCUUGGUGAGAAAGAGGAGGCGUUAUUUGAAGACUGCCUGGUAAGUUUUUUAAUUUAUUUAUUGUCUAAAUUCUUAUUGUAUGUUAUAUCCAGGUGGACAGCCGCAGUGAUGCAACUCAACACAUCGUGAAGAUCCUGGUUGUCCGUGGCAACGAUGGAGAAGAUCCCGUUGAGGUAUCGAUCCUCCUUGAAGGCGAGGAGAUGUUGGCGGGAUGCGGCAGCGUGCCAAAGCUUGCAUGUUGCUGAUGGGGCUUAUUUACGCCAUGAACCUCGCUUACCCACCAGCAUUGCGCUACACAUUUGAAGUUUAAAAAAAACUUCUUCUUGAACUGGAUGGGAUUAAGCCGUCUCCAAAAGUACCGGGUUUGAAGAUGAAGUUGCUGUCCUAAAUGAACACCGACUGGCAAUGUUCAGCAGCUGCUUCA
This is a long non-coding RNA of Pseudoliparis swirei, 1005 nucleotides long. RefSeq lists it as uncharacterized. Lineage: Eukaryota; Metazoa; Chordata; Actinopteri; Perciformes; Liparidae. The record is from RefSeq and is a predicted model, not a curated record. The transcript is spliced from 3 exons.